This 699-nucleotide ribosomal RNA is filed under the name Raoultella sp. RNAcentral describes it as "bacterial SSU rRNA". It matches the Rfam family "Bacterial small subunit ribosomal RNA", at positions 40 to 728 of the family's 1533-position model. Lineage: Bacteria; Pseudomonadati; Pseudomonadota; Gammaproteobacteria; Enterobacterales; Enterobacteriaceae. The record is from RNAcentral.
CGGCAGGCCUAACACAUGCAAGUCGAGCGGUAGCACAGGAGAGCUUGCUCUCCGGGUGACGAGCGGCGGACGGGUGAGUAAUGUCUGGGAAACUGCCUGAUGGAGGGGGAUAACUACUGGAAACGGUAGCUAAUACCGCAUAACGUCGCAAGACCAAAGUGGGGGACCUUCGGGCCUCAUGCCAUCAGAUGUGCCCAGAUGGGAUUAGCUAGUAGGUGGGGUAAUGGCUCACCUAGGCGACGAUCCCUAGCUGGUCUGAGAGGAUGACCAGCCACACUGGAACUGAGACACGGUCCAGACUCCUACGGGAGGCAGCAGUGGGGAAUAUUGCACAAUGGGCGCAAGCCUGAUGCAGCCAUGCCGCGUGUAUGAAGAAGGCCUUCGGGUUGUAAAGUACUUUCAGCGAGGAGGAAGGCAUUAAGGUUAAUAACCUUAGUGAUUGACGUUACUCGCAGAAGAAGCACCGGCUAACUCCGUGCCAGCAGCCGCGGUAAUACGGAGGGUGCAAGCGUUAAUCGGAAUUACUGGGCGUAAAGCGCACGCAGGCGGUUUGUUAAGUCAGAUGUGAAAUCCCCGGGCUCAACCUGGGAACUGCAUUUGAAACUGGCAAGCUUGAGUCUUGUAGAGGGGGGUAGAAUUCCAGGUGUAGCGGUGAAAUGCGUAGAGAUCUGGAGGAAUACCGGUGGCGAAGGCGGCCCC